GCGGAGAUGGCGGAAUGGCAGACGCGCUAGAUUCAGGUUCUAGUGGGAGUUCAUCCUGUGAGGGUUCAAGUCCCUUUCUCCGCA
Molecule: transfer RNA, 84 nt
Filed under: Faecalicatena contorta
Lineage: Bacteria; Bacillati; Bacillota; Clostridia; Lachnospirales; Lachnospiraceae
Also listed under: 4 other names
Description: tRNA-Leu
Rfam family: tRNA
About the family: Transfer RNA (tRNA) molecules are approximately 80 nucleotides in length. Their secondary structure includes four short double-helical elements and three loops (D, anti-codon, and T loops). Further hydrogen bonds mediate the characteristic L-shaped molecular structure. tRNAs have two regions of fundamental functional importance: the anti-codon, which is responsible for specific mRNA codon recognition, and the 3' end, to which the tRNAs corresponding amino acid is attached (by aminoacyl-tRNA synthetases). tRNAs cope with the degeneracy of the genetic code in two manners: having more than one tRNA (with a specific anti-codon) for a particular amino acid; and 'wobble' base-pairing, i.e. permitting non-standard base-pairing at the 3rd anti-codon position.
Source: RNAcentral